This 2903-nucleotide ribosomal RNA is filed under the name human gut metagenome. Its description in RNAcentral is "bacterial LSU rRNA". It matches the Rfam family "Bacterial large subunit ribosomal RNA". The record is from RNAcentral.
UAAAGCAAGAAAGGGCGUAUGGGGAAUGCCUAGGCACACUCCGGCGAAGAAGGACGCAGCAAACAGCGAAAUGCGACGGUGAGCGGUAAGCACGUGAAGAGCCGUCGAUAUCCGAAUGGGGGAACCCACACGGAGUCAUAUCCGUGUAUCACAUGUCGAAUACAUAGACAUGAUGAGGCGAGACGCAGGGAACUGAAACAUCUAAGUACCUGCAGGAGAAGAAAACAAACGUGAUUCCCCCAGUAGCGGCGAGCGACCGGGGAAAAGCCCAAACCGUUAUUGUUUCGGCAUUAACGGGGUAGUAGGACUGCAAGCUUGAUGAAAUAAAUGAAAUGGAACACCUUGGAAAAUGUGAUCACAGAGGGUGAUAAUCCCGUACAUGCAAGUUUAUGAAUCAUAGCAGACUCCUGAGUAAGUCGGGACACGUGUAAUCCUGACCGAAUCCGCCGGGACCAUCCGGCAAGGCUAAAUACUCCUGAGAGACCGAUAGUGAACCAGUACCGUGAGGGAAAGGUGAAAAGCACUUCGAACAGAAGAGUGAAAUAGUCCCUGAACCCAUACGCCUACAAGCAGUCGGAGCCGCUUCGUGCGGUGACGGCGUGCCUUUUGCAUAAUGAGCCUACGAGUUACUCAUCACCAGCGAGGUUAAGUACUUCAGGUACGUAAGCCGAAGCGAAAGCGAGUCUGAAUAGGGCGUCAAGUUGGUGGUGGUAGACGCGAAACCUUAGUGAUCUACCCAUGGGCAGGGUGAAGGUUUGGUAACACAAACUGGAGGCCCGAACCGGUAAACGUUGAAAAGUUUUCGGAUGACCUGUGGGUAGGGGUGAAAGGCCAAUCAAACUGGGAAAUAGCUCGUACUCUCCGAAAUGCAUUUAGGUGCAGCCUCUGUUGUUUUGUUCUAGAGGUAGAGCUACUGAUUGGAUGCGAGGGCUUCACCGCCUAUCAAAUCCGGCCAAACUCCGAAUGCUAGAACAUGAAGACAGGGAGUGAGCCAGCGGGUGCUAAGGUCCGUUGACGAAAGAGGGAGAACUCAGACCAUCAGCUAAGGUCCCCAAUUAUAUGCUAAGUUGGAAUUAAAACGGGGUGGGACUGCUUAGACAGCUAGGAUGUUGGCUUGGAAGCAGCCAUUCAUUUAAAGAGUGCGUAACAGCUCACUAGUCGAGCGGUCCUGCAUGGAUAAUACGCGGGCAUAAGCAUAUAACCGAAGCUAUGGGAUUGUAGAUGAUACAAUCGGUAGGAGAGCAUUCCAUUCAGCGUAGAAGCAGUAUCGUGAGGUAUUGUGGAGCGGAUGGAAAAGCAAAUGUAGGCAUAAGUAACGAUAAUGCGGGUGAGAACCCCGCACGCCGAAAGAUCAAGGAUUCCCCGGCAAUGUCAAUCAUCCGGGGGUAAGUCGGAUCCUAAGGGUAAGCCGAGUGGCGAUCCCGAUGGCAAACAGGUUAAUAUUCCUGUACUGAUCAUAACUGCGAUGCAGCGACGCAGAGGUGACACUGCUGCGUACUGACGGAAUAGUACGUUGAAACCCGUAUUCUUUGAUACCGGUAGUGAAGCACGCCGGUAGAGAUGAAAGGUGAUAGUACCGCAAUGCUUCGGUUGCGCGGAUAAUGCAGGUAAGCUGACUGCCAAGAAAACCUGCUAAGCUUCAGGUAAUGAUCAUCCGUACUGUAAACGGACACACGUGAUCAGGUAGAAAAUACUAAGGCGCUCGAGAGAUUCAUGGUUAAGGAACUAGGCAAAAUGGUCCUGUAACUUCGGGAUAAAGGACGCUCUUGUGAAAGAGCCGCAGAUAAUAGGCCCAGGCGACUGUUUACCAAAAACACAUGGCUAUGCUAAUUCGCAAGAAGAUGUAUAUGGCCUGACACCUGCCCGGUGCCGGAAGGUUAAGAGGAGAGCUCAGAGGUAACUCGAAGGUUUGAAUUGAAGCCCCGGUAAACGGCGGCCGUAACUAUAACGGUCCUAAGGUAGCGAAAUUCCUUGUCGGGUAAGUUCCGACCUGCACGAAUGGUGUAACGAUCUGGGUACUGUCUCAACCAUGAGCUCGGUGAAAUUGUAGUUCCGGUGAAGAUGCCGGAUACCCGCAACGGGACGGAAAGACCCCGUGAACCUUUACUGCAGCUUUGCAUUGAUUUUGGGUAACAGAUGUGUAGGAUAGGUCGGAGGCUUUGAUGCUGCGUCGUCAGGCGUAGAGUAGCCGUCGUUGAAAUACGACCCUUUUGUUAUCUGAGGUCUAAUCCCGUUAGGGAGACAUUGCAUGGUGGGUAGUUUGACUGGGGUGGUCGCCUCCAAAAGUGUAACGGAGGCUUCUCAAGGUACCCUCAAGGCGUUUGGUAAUCGUCUGCAGAGUGCAAUGGCAUAAGGGUGCUUGACUGUGAGACCGACACGUCGAUCAGGUUGGAAACAAGAGCAUAGUGAUCCGGUGGUUCCGCAUGGAAGGGCCAUCGCUCAAAGGAUAAAAGGUACUCCGGGGAUAACAGGCUGAUCGCUCCCAAGAGCUCAUAUCGACGGAGCGGUUUGGCACCUCGAUGUCGGCUCGUCACAUCCUGGGGCUGGAGAAGGUCCCAAGGGUUCGGCUGUUCGCCGAUUAAAGUGGCACGCGAGCUGGGUUCAGAACGUCGUGAGACAGUUCGGUCCCUAUCUGUUGUGGGCGCAGGAUAUUUGAGGAGCUCUGACUCUAGUACGAGAGGACCGGGUUGGACAUACCUCUGGUGAAUCAGUUGUGUCGCCAGAUGCACUGCUGAGUAGCUAUGUAUGGAUUGGAUAAGCGCUGAAAGCAUCUAAGCGCGAAGCCAGCUUCAAGAUGAGAUAUCCUUACAGGGUCGUUCGAGAUGAGAACGUUGAUAGGUUGCAGGUGUAUAGUCGGUGACGGCACAGCCGAGCAAUACUAAUUACCCGAAUGUUUACUUUAA